ACGCCUAUGGCACACAAUCACAAAGUCUCCUCUACUGGGGCCUCAUAAAGAACCCUAAUUUCAGCAAUAGUGGCCUCGAUAGUGGUUGAGGUGCUCAUGUUAAUGUGGGCCCCGAUGAUGGCUGGUGCACUCAAUGGUGGAAUAUAAUUGAUGUCUAAUAUAGAACCCCCGCUCAUAUCAACAACACCAUCAACCAUUAUAUCACCUAUUUGGG
RNAcentral lists this long non-coding RNA (214 nucleotides) under Capsicum annuum. RNAcentral's name for it is "long non-coding RNA (CANN_LNC004684)". The record is from RNAcentral. Lineage: Eukaryota; Viridiplantae; Streptophyta; Magnoliopsida; Solanales; Solanaceae.